UGCACAUUCAUGAUGGCCGCUGAUGUGCAUGCGCUACCUGGAGAAAGGCGGGACGGGUGGCCGGCGCUCGAGUCAGUACUGGCGAUGAUGAUGUUGAUGGUGAUGAUGCUGGAAAGGAGGACUUGAGGAAAAGAAAGAAACAGGAAUUUGUUCAUACCACUUCAGUGCCACACAGAAGGGAGACGGUGACCCCAGCAAAGGACAAACAAACAAGAUGUUCUCGCACUGCGGCAUACCCCAAACACGGAUCCUCCUUCAUCAUCGAUCCUAUGAGCACUAUCCGUUUCCACAAAAUCUGUGCUAAUGCAAUGAUGAAAACUCAUGACCAUUUUUAGAAGACAACAGCAACAACAUUUAAUAAAAGAGCUGUAAGAAUAAGCAUGGUGUCGUCCAGAGGUUUCGAGGAAGGGCUGUCCUGUGUUUGUGUUUCACCCUCCGGGAGGUGCCGUUAUUGUCCCUUUU
This is a long non-coding RNA of Tachysurus vachellii, 462 nucleotides long. RefSeq lists it as uncharacterized. The record is from RefSeq and is a predicted model, not a curated record. The transcript is spliced from 3 exons. Lineage: Eukaryota; Metazoa; Chordata; Actinopteri; Siluriformes; Bagridae.